Molecule: ribosomal RNA, 324 nt
Filed under: uncultured Glomus
Lineage: Eukaryota; Fungi; Glomeromycota; Glomeromycetes; Glomerales; Glomeraceae
Description: SSU rRNA
Rfam family: Eukaryotic small subunit ribosomal RNA
Source: RNAcentral
AGCAGCCGCAGUAAUUCCAGCUCCAAUAGCGUAUAUUAAAGUUGUUGCAGUCAAAAAGCUCGUAGUUGAAUUUCAGGGUUAGUAGGUUGGUCGUGCCUAUGGUAUGUACUGGCUUUACUGAUUCCUUCUUCUUGAAGAACUGUAAUGUCAUUAAUUUGGUGUUGCAGGACUGUUGCAGGGAAACAGGACUGUUACUUUGAAAAAAUUAGAGUGUUUAAAGCAGGCUAACGCUUGAAUACAUUAGCAUGGAAUAAUGAAAUAGGACGUUUGAUCCUAUUUUGUUGGUUUCUAGGAUUGACGUAAUGAUUAAUAGGGAUAGUUGGG